RNAcentral lists this ribosomal RNA (446 nucleotides) under uncultured prokaryote. RNAcentral describes it as "bacterial SSU rRNA". It matches the Rfam family "Bacterial small subunit ribosomal RNA", at positions 355 to 795 of the family's 1533-position model. The record is from RNAcentral.
UGGGGAAUCAUGGUCAAUGGGCGAAAGCCUGAACCUGCGACGCCGCGUGAGUGAUGAAGGUCGUAAGAUCGUAAAACUCUUUUCAGGGAUCUUAAAGCCUGUCUGUCAACAAUAGGCAGGUCUGACUCUCCCUGGAAGAAGCCCCAGCCAACUACGUGCCAGCAGCUGCGGUAAUACGUAGGGGGCAAGCGUUAUUCGGAAUUACUGGGUGUACAGGGUAUGUAGGCGGCCCUUCAAGUCGCGUGUCAAAGUCCAGUGCUCAACGCUGGGUGUGCGCGCGAUACUGACGUGCUUGAGGGCUGGAUAGGUGAGCGGAAUUCCCGGUGUAGUGGUAAAAUACGUAGAGAUCGGGAGGAACACCAGCGGCGCAGGCGGCUCACUAGACAGUUUCUGACGCUAAGAGACGAAAGCGUGGGGAGCAAACAGGAUGAGAUGCCCCUCUAGUC